This is a long non-coding RNA of Mercenaria mercenaria, 9286 nucleotides long. RefSeq lists it as uncharacterized. The transcript has 3 exons. The record is from RefSeq and is a predicted model, not a curated record. NCBI's taxonomy places the organism in Eukaryota, Metazoa, Mollusca, Bivalvia, Venerida, Veneridae.
UGUACAAGCGACGAUGAUUUCAAACAGCUCUGUUGUAUAGAACAUUUAUUUUUGAAAAAUGAUCACAACUUUCUAACUUCCUUUCAUUUCCUAGAGCAUUUUCAGAUUGUAAGAUGUUAGGUACUUCAUUUAAAAUUUGAUGCAUUUUAUCACAUGUAUAACGUUUUAUUUUUAUGAAAUCAUCUUUCUUUGAUGUUGUCAUCAUUUAACGUUGAUAAUAAAGUAAUCAUAGGCAUGUAAAACUAAAAGUUCAAAAUGGAAAUAUAUUUAAGGUAGCUCCAUACUUAGAUAGAAAAUGUCAAAAAUUAACGCACACAAAUGAAAUUUUAUCUGAAUAAAGGCUGAAGACUGCAUUUCCAGAAAACACAUAUAUUUUUAAUUCCCAAUUUUUAUUGUUUCGAAGAGCGCCCCCUAAUGGUACCUGCAUUUUGCACGGAAAAGUUAGUUUUAAAAAGUUAUAACUCAGGUGAAAAUGGUCCGAAUUCGAAUUUUCUACUCAUACGUAAAGAAAUUUUAUUUUGGAAGUUUCUAAAUAUUAACAAAAAAUCGAUUUUCAGACUAUAUAUAAAUAUUUAAAAAAACUCGCCGGCUUCGGGCUCAAAAGUACGUGUUAGUUUGCAUAAAAUAUCUCAUCACAUAUUUUAUUUUCCCGACGAUGAAAAGUUUUCAUUCUGUUAUAUCUCAUUCUUUGAUGUGUGUUCUUUAAAUUAACGAAAUAAAAAGGGUAUAUGUUCAUGGUGGAUAUUUCGUAAAAAAAAUAUUAAUAUGAUACACAAAAAAAAUCACGACAAAAAAAAACAACAACGUCCAUAACGCGAUUGCGGAUUUCUUUCUUCGUCAGCGCGGUUUGAUUAUCUUGUAAUACUAUUAUAAAAUAAAAAGCAUAUCUUUGAAUCAGACUUCUGGUUUAGAAAAUAAAAAGACGAAAAUAUUCGCUUUUAGCUGUAGUAAGUGUAUGUAUUUAUUAUCGCGUUGAUUGAUGGUAUGUUCUUUUUCUUUAGCGCUUACGUGUAAAAUAAUUCCAUGUAUGUUAAAUGUUAUACCGUCCGCUGAGCACACUAAAGUAUUAUCGCGAAUAGUACUUAUACAAUAAUGAUCUAAUUAAAAGUACCGAUAGUUGCUAAAAUAUAUCGUGUCCAAACGGACAUACAUAUCAAGACUGAUGUUUAGAUAUCAAUUAUAUGUAUGGGCAGCAUGCUCGGAACUGUACUAGCAUUGUAAGCAAUUUAACGGUCAUAAAAUCAUAAGACAAUUUUGGGAUCCAAAAAAUGCUCCGUGAAAUAACCUGAAGAUCAUGUUUUCGGUAGAGUUACGAAAUCUCACAAAAGUUAAACCGUAAAGGGAUUCGACUGAAGAACAAAGCAUAUUUUACGAGAUUGCAGUAUGCAUAAAAUAUGAUAUAUUUUUCAAAUGCCGCUAUUUCAGACCUGGAGCUGAUUAUUUCUAUGACGAUUUCAAAGUUUGUUUAUAUCAGGAUAUCCACUGAAUGUGUUUAAUUACUUAACUCGAACAGAGUUUUAGAAAUAUGUGGGAAUUAAGUUUCCUGCAAAUUUGCUAAUAGAUUUCUGAUUGAUAUUAUGUUUUCGAAGAAGUUGGAUUAAAAACAGUGAUAUCUAUAACAUCACAUCAGAAUUAGAAGAUUCUUAAGUUGAAUAGUAAUGAUUUCAAUAAUGAAAAACCUAGUAAUUUUAUAGUUUUCUUUUUUUUUUAUGUUGUUGUUUGUUUUUCAAGCUUGAUAUCUAUUGUUAAAUUCGGUACUUUACAGCAAACGUAGAAUUGACAGAUAAACCGCUUGUGAUUUUUAUAAGUAACAUAUAAAAUCAUGUGUGUUUCAACAAAACAUAUUUGAAUGAUUGCAGCAGAUAUAAGCGUUCAAACAAAAUUAACAGCACAUCAGCAAGUGUUAUCUCUUUUUGUGAAUGUUUAGAAAACAAUUUUCAUAAUAACAUCAUUUUUAAGUAAAACUUGGUACAAUCUCCUCGGGUAUUCCGAAUCAGUCUUAAAUGCGGUUCACUCUAAACGUUUUACUGCUGAUGACAACAAAUACUCAUGCAAAAAUUAGAAAAAAAAAUGUUGAUAAUCUUUAAGCAAUAAACAUCUGUGCAGAUUAAACAACCAUAGGUUAUAACGUUGAGCUAUUUUUGAUAAUAAACACAGUAUAAUUGAGUCAAGAUGCUAAUACAUGUAUUUAUCAAGAAAAAACGGAGCUAUUUUAUUCAAAAGAUGCUUACAUUAUUGUCACCACAUUCAUUUGAACAUGUCUGGAAUUCAUGUCAAUAGUUAGCCUGGACCAUUUUAUAUGCUAUUAUGUGUUACACUGAACGGCGAUUUGUUUCAAUGUUGAAAUUGUAACAAUAAAUUUAAACAGCGUUCAUUAUGGCCUUACGAUAUUCUUUAACUUUUACUCAUCAUUUUAUGUUAUCUGAACGAAUAUAAAGUUUUUCUUAGCAUUCUGAAGUAUAUUUCAUAAAGCUAGUAUCGCUGGGCAGAUUCUACAAGUAUAACUGACUAAUGGCAACAGUGAUUCGGAAUACACUGAUAUUACUCGAAAUAGCCGAUGUCAUGGAAAUCGGGAAAUCUACAUAUUAUGCCAACGUGGUAUAAGUUGGUUGUGUGAACUGCAAACAGUCCCAGAAAUGUCGGCAACUAAAAUGAUUCUAGCUGAGAAAAUAAUUACCUACACCAAAGAAACUAGAGAUUUGAUGGUAGUACAACAAACCAACCAGAAACACUACAUAAACAAAGCGACAAUUAGUGUUUUUCAGACUGACUUCAAAUAUUUAACUAAGUACUUUGUGGAAAGCGUAAAUGGCAGUCCAGCAACCGUUGAUGUAGCUAAAACAUCACAGGACAAUUUUAGCGAGAAGUAUUACAAACAACGUAUGAUAUAAAAAUGAAAGUGUAUUUGUGUGUCCAUAUGCAUGCAUGCUUGCAUUCCAGUAUAGUCUAAAGCAAUACAAAACCAGUAUACAACAAUAGCAUAAUGUUCUAUUCCAGUAAAGUCUAAAGCGAUACAAAUCCAGUAUUCAACAAUAACAUAUGUUCUAGUCUAAAAAUUAAAAAGUACAAUAUAUUUCUUUGCAUAUUUUGUUCGAACUACAAGUAGCGAGUUGAAACUAUUAUAAAUAUAAAGAUAGUCUUCAGCUGAAUAUGUUUUUUUCAGAAGCUGGUAAUCUCGUUUCACCAUUUCCUUAAGCAAAAAGUUCAUCUUCCAUUGUCCUUAUUGCCUAUGAAAUAAAUGACAUUUUUUGUCUAUUCUGUGUUCAAUAUUAACAUGUGGGUGUUAUUUAAGGACAAUACGUUGAUGAAGAUAAUGGUGUUAGCUCUCUGUGGCUAUUCAGAUUCUUUCCGUAAAGUAUUUAAUUUCCUUUCAUUGAUCAACCUUUUAACCCCAUCAAAUGAAAUAUAAAGUGUUAGGGCGUUAGUCGCACCCAUGACGUAACCGAAAAACAUGGUUUGAAAGAACAUUUCAUCAACAGUCCAAACAUAAACACGAAAGAUACUGUAUCUUGUGCAAAAUUUACUUUCUCAAAAGUAUUUUGUAGUUUGUAAAGCAAAACUAUGAUUUAGCAAUGAAAUUUAAUUAUUCAAAAUGCAUUUAUCCGUUACAGGCAUUCUUUUAGAUGAUACCAUGCAUCAUGUCAGCAGAAGGGCAGGUUAUCGCAAGUUCCAACAGUAGUAUAGUCAAUAUUUGAGCUAGGAAAAAAUUGUCAUUAAAGAGAUAAAGGUUUUCCAUUCUAAGGUAACGACACAGCGAGAGGAAUACAAUCUCCCUUUUUAAGCUUCAAAAUUCCAGGCUAUAAAUUUACGGUAGGCGCAUGUAGUGAGCAAAAACCCUUUUAUUAGAAUUAUAUAUUAUCGUUCUAUAAAACAGGUCUUUUGAAAUGUCAGUUGUUUGUUUAUAUUUCAGGUUUUCAUGCAUUUGUCUCGAUUAGUUUAUCCAAAUGAUAACACAUAUAGUUUGUGGAUGCCACCAAGUCCCAUGUCUUUUUACAAUUCCUUUGAUGUAGAGAUAGUACUUAAGUUUUUCAAAUCAUAGGUUUGAAGUUAAAAAGCUUUGAAAUGAAGACAAAUGUCCAUAUAUUUCUCAAAAACAGAAAUAUAGACAAUAUUUUAACCAGAAGUGUGGAGUUAUGAGCAUAUAAUAUUUUCAUGUUAACGAAAAUUUUGUGAUCAAGGAAAUGUAAGUCUUCUUGAACAUGGAGAGCAUAAACAUCAAAGGGACAUAAUAUAGUCAAUAUUUUCUAAUUGGGUGCAUUUGAUAUAACAUUCAAUUUUUAUCUGGAUUGCUAAAUAAAGAUCCAUGAUACUGUGUGCUAAAAAUUUAGAACAUCUAGAACAGUCUAUUAACAGCAAAACUAUGCUUUAGCAGAAUCUAAAUAGUUAAGCUCUAACUGGGACUCGAACCCAGGACCUCUCACGCCUAAGGCAGACACUCUACAACUUCCCUAUAACAGCAGUAGCUAAUAGCUAUGCAGUUUAAUUGCUGAAUUACAUUGCGUGAACUGGAACAAUAAUCGGUGAACUCCGGAUUAUCGGCGUAUUCGAUUUGCUACCUAACGGCAAUUUUUGUGUAAAGAAAAAAUAUAAUCUAAUGCUGCCAACGUCAUAAUCGGUCAAAUUUGCCCAAAUUUCUCUGACGUGUUGUUCAGAGUAUGAACUUAUUAACUGGUAGUACCAGUGAAACAUUACUUACACUGAAUCUUUUAUAUUUGCCCUUUUUGCAGCUGUCGAUCGGCAAAGACGGUGAGUUUUGUCCAAAUAUAAGUAAUUAUUUUACCAGUUUUGAGAGGAUUUUAAUUGAUGGGAAAUUACAGUUACAAACUAAAUACCUUUCUGCAACACAUGGAGUCAUUAGCAUUCACUGUCAAUCAGUAUUAUGACUAAGAUCGACUGUCAUUAAUUCCUUUCAAAGUUUCAUAGACAGAGUCCGUUGUUUACAUUUUUAUCGUAACCGGUGCACUUGUAAAGAUCACUUUAGUUUGAAAAAUCAAAGUAUGCGAAGAGCUAUUGUACGGUCUCUAUUUGAUGUAUAUUCCCGUCAGGUUUAAUGGAUGUUGAACGAAGAAACUCUUAAUGCACUUAAUGAAAUGCAGUAUAUGUGUACCUUUGUUAUUGUUAGCGUUUUUGUAAGCUUAACGGGUUGGAGACAGAGUACAAAAUAUUCUAAAGGAUUUUAUAGAUAUAUUCCUCUUUUCAAUGAAUAUGCUUGCUGUACGAUUUUUCAUGCAAAGAAAAAUACUGCCAAUUGGAUUCAUCUCACAUGAGUAAAAGCCUAGCGAGAAAUGACACUUCUAAUAAAGAUCACGAAAAGUCUUUCCACUUACAUAUAUAUUUUUAUAUUGUUUUCAUCCUAACGUACUUAUUAAUUAAUUACACACGAAUAUUAUUUGUAUACUAAGUGACACGGUAUAGAACUUGAAUAUACAAAACGGGAAGAAAGUCUGUAGGCGAUCGGGUAGCUCAAUCUGUAGAGCAUAGGAACGGUAUUCCAAGGCCUCGGGCUCGAGUCCCUGUUUGGCUGCACAUUUUUUCUCACCUUGUGACAUUUGGCGCCCAACGUGGGGCAUAGGAUGAGAAAAAUGUGCAGCCAGACCGGGAUUCGAACCCGGGGCCUUGAAAUACCGUUGCGAUGCUCUACCGACCGAGCUACCCAGCCGCCUACACAUUUUCUCCCCGUUUUAAUACUUACGUUCUAUACCGUGACAUAAGUAGUAAUUUUCACUAACACUUGCGGUAGAAAACGUUUCACGCUUUUUUUCAUAUUAAACACCUUUAAUUCAAGUUUAUUGUCUUAGUCUUGAAAUUAAGAAUUGCAUUUUCGACUUUAUUCCUAGUAAAUACUUCUCUUCACUUGGUAAUGUCAUCAUCUAUUGAUAAGAGUAUCAACAUGUUUUUGCUAAAAAUAAUUAUACUUCUACAAUUAGAGUCGCAGAUGUCUGUUUUCAUGAAAUAUACUGUAUUUCAAUGAACAGUAACAGUAAAAUAAAUGAUAUUUGUUUGGAUUUAUUUAAUAUUAGCAAUUAGAAAUGUUAGUAAAUGUUCGAAGUAUAUAAUUCGUAUCGUAUGUUCAAGGAUUUUUGUAAGAAACAGUAAAAGAGUUAUUUUCUAAAACGAAAUAUUUUCGUAUUAGCCGCUUUCAUAAGUCCUAAAAUUUCAGAGCAAAGAAUUAAUGUGUUAGGCGAAAUCGAAUCCUCCUCUCUACAACCUCUUUCAAGGUAGAAAAAAAAUCAGAUAAAUGACCAUUUUGCAAAAUACAAGUUUCACUUCCAUUCUGAUAUAAAAGAUAUCCAUUUUUUAAGGAGAGGCCAAAAUUAAAAUAAUUAAAAGAAGAAGAGGAGAAGAAGAAGAGUUAAGUUUUUGCAAUUAUAUAAAAAGUGAAAACGUAACAGAAAUCCGACAUCUCUCGACAUAAUUAUAUCUAUAAAGCUUUUCAAUUGAGAAAUAGGUAGUCGAAUGAAUAUUAAUGUUAGAAACAUCAUAGAUACUUACACCUAGAAAAUUUUAUUGAAGACCCAUGUCGUUGUCAAAAUAUAAUCUCUUCUGUUUUUGUCAUAUUGUAUUGUAUUGUGAAAGGCAAAACAUUUUCAUGUUAUUUUGUCUCUCCCACAAAAAGCAAUUUCUGCAUUUUUAAAACUAAAUGAUUUUGGUGUUUGUAUUUUCAGGGUAUUAGAUUUGAAAUGUCUUGCCAUCUUGCCAUCUGAAUACAUGUAUUUAUCAUGCUAUGCUCAUAGAUCUUUUAAGAUUUCAUGCAUGAUAUUCUUCUUCUUCUUCUUCUGUUUCUUUUUUCUCCUAAAUUCUCAUAUCUGCAUUUUGAUCUUAUCAUUACUCCCUCAAUAUAUUUCUCCUUAAAGUUUCUAAUUCGUAUUUUUUGUUGCAGGUCCAAACUUAAAACAUUGUCUCCUGUUUGAAAGUUAUCAUUUAAUUGCUUCUCAUGUUUUUUUUAGUAUCUACAUCUAAAUAUAUCUCUUUCUUUUAUUCUCUAUUCUUUUUCUCAGAACAAUAUUUAAUAGUUUCGCCCAUGAUAAUAACUAAAAACGUUUCUAAUAAAAGUUGAUAAUUGAUAUCGAACUUGAUACUUUCAUGUUUAAAAGAAGUUCCAUUUGCAUUUUCCUCUUGCCUAUCAUUAAUUUGGACUUCCAAUUUAUGUUGUCCAGAUAGAUUCUUCAAUGUAGAAUUGACUAAAUUGUACACUUCAUCUUUCAGAAGAGAAUUAUUAAACUUCCAGUACCUUUUACCGCGGACAUAAUCGUUAAAAUAAUUACGUGAAGUAUUUCCAUUUAUAUCAGACCUAUAUCUAGGAUUAAUGUUUUAAUCAGCUAUGGAAUUCAUUACACUUUCUUUUAUAAAUUUACAUUUUUGAGUCGGCUAAAGGCUGAAAGCCUUUUGACGAGUCCUUGCUGUUCAGCGAUUCUCUAAAUGGACCGAAUAACACGUGAAGGGAUGUAGUUCCAUUAGAUUUCUCAAACUUCAAACAGUUCACUGCAUGAAUGAAGUUAAGUUGUGUCAAUUCCCUUUGUUAUUACCAAUAUACGAUGUAAUCUGUCAUAUUUAUGACUUGUAAUUGUGCAAUACUCGAAUGUAACUCAUUAAGCAUAAAUGUGCAUUUUAAGAAUUGCGCAGGCUUACAUGUACAAAGCUUUGGUAACAUCCAGCGGAAGACAAAAAAUAGUUCCACAAGGCUCCAGAUAAGAUGCGUAUUAGCGUAAAUUACGUGUAGAAAUAAUGCAAAUACGCAUGUCUAAUAAUUUCUAAGCGUAUAAAAACGUAUAUAAAAUUACAGAAACGCACACAAUGCUUUUUUGAAAACAAAAUCUGAAUCGUCUGGAUGCGUUAGGUAACAUAGCCGAUCAGCCUUAAUUCUCCCACAUUGAACGUAAACACGCAUCGUAUGAUUUCUAUAAACUUUGCGUGGGUUGAAUUUUGCAGUCAGUAAACGGAUAAAUUAUCGGAAGAAGAAGCUCUUACUGGUUUGUUUAGUUACUACUGAUAUUAAAAAUGAUUUUAAUUCUUAUUUUUCGAGAAAUAAACCAAUCGGCGAAACAUUAAAUUGUAUUUUCUUGUAGUUUUUGAAAUCGAAAGUAGAUCGUCUAUGUUUGGCUGCUUUCACGAAACGAAACAACUUUUUUAUGAAAAGAUUUAAAUAAGAGGUAAUUUAACCGUAAACUUCAAUGUCAGAUACUGCCAAUUGCUGCUAAAUGUCUUCGUAUCAUCACAAUUUGUAAAAUAUAUUGUUGAAACUGGAGAAAAGUGUAAUCGUAUCCGGAUAUAAUAUUUUGGGUAAAUAUCGAGCUGUGUUAUGAAAUUUUAAGAAAAAAAACUAAAAACAAACUGAAACUGGUAGACUAUACUGUCAGUACAUCAAUCAUUAGCCGACUCAGGCCCUUCAGGCCUUUGAUUUUUAAUUUGUAUUUUAAAAUGUAUCGUAUAAUUUUAUGCAACUUAUUGUAUAUUGAUGAGACUUAAUAAAUAAAUAUAUAAAUAAAUAAAUAUACAAAAUCACUAAAAUGAUAAGGCUUGUACAGAUGAAUUAAUCAGCGCUUCAUUGGUUCAGUGUUUUUAUUGUAAAAUGAAUUUUAUUGACAUCGUAACUCAUUUACUUCUUUUCUAUUGCUCAUGUCAUACAUGAAUUCAUGUGACUUCAGUUUAUAACAAAUCGUUACUGCCAUCUCAAUGCUUUACUGAUUUAAAAUAAAAUCACUUUACAAAGUUCGGCUUUGGGAUAACGCUUAGAUCAGUAGUAUCUUUUUUUAUUUUCAAACACAAACUUCUACCACUUCAUAGACCUUUGAUUUUCGUAACGAGUAUAUACUGAUUAGUUCAAAAGAAAUAGAAGAGGCUCUCAAGAGAGGUUGUUCUGUUUGGAACAACAUAUUUUUUCUUGUCAUACCUCAUUGCUAUGUUGUGUAGAAUUUUGAAACUUUUUGUACAAGCUUUUGUUAGACUUUAUCUAAGCGGUGAUUACAUUCAUAUAAAGGUUCUCCAAAUGAUGAAAGCUGAUUCACUUGAAAACAACAAUCUUUUUGAUGAAAAUGAUAUACAAUAGUUGAAAUUUGGACAGCUUUAAAUUUCAUUUUGCUAUUUCAAUAAAAUUUUUGUUGUUAAUUUGCCGACACAUAUUACAAAAUUCCCCGAUGUAAUCGCUUCUUUAACUUUUAGCAAAUAUUUAUCUAACAGGUAUCACCGUGACUGUUUUGUGUUAAAUUAGAACUAAGAAUUUGAUGCACUAUUUUAUGUAUAAAUGUAAAUUUUAGUGUGUCAAAACGUCUGUGUUGCUAAGGGGUAA